UACGUAGGGUGCAAGCGUUAAUCGGAAUUACUGGGCGUAAAGCGUGCGCAGGCGGUUUUGUAAGCCAGAUGUGAAAUCCCCGGGCUCAACCUGGGAAUGGCAUUUGGGACUGCAAGGCUUGAGUGCGGCAGAGGAGACUGGAAUUCCUGGUGUAGCAGUGAAAUGCGUAGAUAUCAGGAGGAAUACCGAUGGCGAAGGCAGGUCUCUGGGCUGACACUGACGCUCAUGCACGAAAGCGUGGGGAGCAAACAGG
Molecule: ribosomal RNA, 253 nt
Filed under: uncultured bacterium
Lineage: Bacteria
Description: partial 16S ribosomal RNA
Rfam family: Bacterial small subunit ribosomal RNA
Source: RNAcentral